RNAcentral lists this transfer RNA (87 nucleotides) under Bacteroidales bacterium. RNAcentral's name for it is "tRNA-Ser". It matches the Rfam family "tRNA". Rfam says of the family: Transfer RNA (tRNA) molecules are approximately 80 nucleotides in length. Their secondary structure includes four short double-helical elements and three loops (D, anti-codon, and T loops). Lineage: Bacteria; Pseudomonadati; Bacteroidota; Bacteroidia; Bacteroidales. The record is from RNAcentral.
GGAAAGUUGCCGGAGUGGUCGAUCGGGGCAGACUCGAAAUCUGUUGAACCCUUCGGGGUUCCGGGGGUUCGAAUCCCUCACUUUCCG